RNAcentral lists this ribosomal RNA (882 nucleotides) under uncultured bacterium. Its description in RNAcentral is "bacterial SSU rRNA". It matches the Rfam family "Bacterial small subunit ribosomal RNA", at positions 8 to 853 of the family's 1533-position model. The record is from RNAcentral.
AGAGUUUGAUCAUGGCUCAGGACGAACGCUGGCGGCAUGCCUAAUACAUGCAAGUCGAACGAGCUUCCGUUGAAUGACGUGCUUGCACUGAUUUCAACAAUGAAGCGAGUGGCGAACUGGUGAGUAACACGUGGGGAAUCUGCCCAGAAGCAGGGGAUAACACUUGGAAACAGGUGCUAAUACCGUAUAACAACAAAAUCCGCAUGGAUUUUGUUUGAAAGGUGGCUUCGGCUAUCACUUCUGGAUGAUCCCGCGGCGUAUUAGUUAGUUGGUGAGGUAAAGGCCCACCAAGACGAUGAUACGUAGCCGACCUGAGAGGGUAAUCGGCCACAUUGGGACUGAGACACGGCCCAAACUCCUACGGGAGGCAGCAGUAGGGAAUCUUCCACAAUGGACGAAAGUCUGAUGGAGCAAUGCCGCGUGAGUGAAGAAGGGUUUCGGCUCGUAAAACUCUGUUGUUAAAGAAGAACACCUUUGAGAGUAACUGUUCCAAGGGUUGACGGUAUUUAACCAGAAAGCCACGGCUAACUACGUGCCAGCAGCCGCGGUAAUACGUAGGUGGCAAGCGUUGUCCGGAUUUAUUGGGCGUAAAGCGAGCGCAGGCGGUUUUUUAAGUCUGAUGUGAAAGCCUUCGGCUUAACCGGAGAAGUGCAUCGGAAACUGGGAGACUUGAGUGCAGAAGAGGACAGUGGAACUCCAUGUGUAGCGGUGGAAUGCGUAGAUAUAUGGAAGAACACCAGUGGCGAAGGCGGCUGUCUAGUCUGUAACUGACGCUGAGGCUCGAAAGCAUGGGUAGCGAACAGGAUUAGAUACCCUGGUAGUCCAUGCCGUAAACGAUGAGUGCUAAGUGUUGGAGGGUUUCCGCCCUUCAGUGCUGCAGCU